CGGAUUGCAGGCUGCAACUCGCCUGUAUGAAGUCGGAAUUGCUAGUAAUCGCGGAUCAGCAUGCCGCGGUGAAUACGUUCCCGGGCCUUGUACACACCGCCCGUCACACCAUGAGAGCCGGGAACACCCGAAGUCCGUAGUCUAACCGCAAGGAGGACGCGGCCGAAGGUGGGUUUGGUAAUUGGGGUGAAGUCGUAACAAGGUAUC
RNAcentral lists this ribosomal RNA (207 nucleotides) under uncultured bacterium. Its description in RNAcentral is "partial 16S ribosomal RNA". It matches the Rfam family "Bacterial small subunit ribosomal RNA", at positions 1294 to 1500 of the family's 1533-position model. The record is from RNAcentral.